AUAAAAAUUUUAUCAUUUAAUUACUUUUUAUGUGUUAUACAAUUUAUAAUUUACAUUGCUCGUAUUGUCUACAUGAAAAAGAGACAUAUAAACAUAAAUAAUACAUAAAUAAUUUAUGUAGAUGUAAUCUUGAAAAAUACAUCACAACUUUGUUUUUGGUCAGAUUUGAGCGAAUACUCGUAAAAUAUAAAAAAAUCUACAUUGCGUUUAUACAAUGUAAACUAUUGACGUAUCAUAUGUAUGUAAAAAAUAAUCAAUAAGGGGAUCAUAGAAAACUUAAAUUUUAUCAUAAAUAGUGAAAAUUAUAUUCCAUUUUAUUAUUUUUUAUAUUAUAUAUCUUUAUUUUAUCAAACUAAAGUCAGAUGUAUCAACAUAUUUUAUAACUAGUUAAUUUUUUUGUACUGUGUUGUUUAAUUUGUAAUAAUUUACAUCGCUUGUAUUAUUUACAUGAAUAAGAUUCAUGUAAAUAGUAUAUAAAAAAUAAUCCAUGUAGACGUAAUCUUAAAAUUUACAGCACAGUUCUUGUUACAGCACGGAAGAGAACCACAAAACACAGACAGUACCUAUGGGAUUCAUAAACGUUGGCUACAUAGUUCAAUGUUUUAUGAACAUAAGGGCGCUCCAAAAUAAAGUUAUAGCUAAAUCGCAGCCGUAGCCGCUCUCGGGCUUCUCUCUGUACACAUAUGCAUGUUAUCAAAGAACCUUUCAGGUUUUAACAACAUUUCGUGAUAAGCUCUGCAAUGCGAGGGAUACAUUGGAGGAUUUACUCUGUCAUUUCCCGUAGGGUAUACAGAUGCGGUUCCUCCUCCGCUCUUUCAGGCCUACGCCAAUUCAAAGGGAUUCAUUUACAAUAGGUAGCUGAAAGUGUGGCGGCGUGACAGCGAAGGACGUGGACGACACUUCUUUCCGAGAGACCACGCGGUAGCUUCUUGCCAAGCCGAGCAAUUUCGACGAUCACUUAUCUUCCUGUCCAAGAGAACGUUCGUUCCCUGCUUGUCGGGAGUGGACGCGUGGAAAGACAAAGGUUGAGAGUGAGAAGGAGAGAGAAGAGGAUGUGAAGAGAGAUAAAGAGGAACCGACCGCUUCAAGGGAGCAGAGGAGAGAGAAACGGAAAAUCAGAGGAGGGAAGUUUGGAGGUGACUUUCAGGCGUGGAGAGUUGCGCGCGUCAAGGCAAUCCACUCGAUCACUCUCUGGGGACACUGAGAAAUCCUGGUUCGCCCGCGUGUACUCAUACACAUGUACGCGAACGACAGCGUACGGCAUGUACCACCGAUCCGACGGAAUAAUGUUGGAAAAACCGUUUAACUCUGUAAAAGCAAACGUUCGCUGAAUAACAGAAAGUUAAAUCAAUGAUGAAUCAAAUUCUGUAACUUGUUGCCAGAUAGGAGGAGUCAAUUGCUCAUUGCUGCUAUUAUCGUAGAAAGUUGUGAACAAAUCAAUUGAGAUAAUUAUUAGUGUUGGAGAAAUUGACUGCUAUUUUGUAUAAAAACAUAAUUCAUAGUGAGUGCGAUUGAUCAUUUUGGUUUGUUUUGUUAGACAUUGAGACCUUAUUGUAGAAUAUUAGAAUAUUGAUAAAUAUUAGAAUAUUGAUAAAUCGAUUUCGAUAUUGUAUUGUGGCUGACAUUGCUCUUUCUGAUUACUUAUUAUUUAGAAAAAUUAAAUCACUAAUUAGUGAAGUGCGAAUCAAGAUUUUUGGCAUCGAAACGAACCAAAUUUUAUUUUGUUAUUUGAAUCUGAAUCGAAUUAUAUCAAACUGAAUUGUUGAAACAUAACUUGUAAGUAAUAAUUAUUGUUGAGUUGAAGUUUAGUAAAUAGAUAAUAAAAAGACUUUUAGGUAAGAAAAAUAUAUUGAUUAUGAUAAUAUAAAGUUAUUUUAAAAAUAUAAUUUUAUAAGCUUGUUAAUAUAUGUGAUUCGUAUAUUCAAACCUCUUAGAUUCGAAAUUUUUAAAUAGUUCAGAUUAGAAUCAUAGAAAUUCAAAUAGUUCACUAAUCACAUCGCUAAUAAAUCAGAUUUCUGAGAUAGUUUUUACAAUUCAGUUUUCGGAAGUUUAUAAAUUUAUUACUAUUACAUUAAAUUAAAUUAUAAUACAAUUAUAUAUUAAAUCUUAUCGCAUAUGUUACGAGAAUUAAUAAUUCGAUUAGUUUCGAUAUUUAAUUCUCAAGGUAAAAAUAGUGUGUAUGAAAAUUUAUACAAUUCCCGCGAACACAUGCGAGAGUUACACGCAGGUGUUCGUCGUGGACGCGUGUCGUGUAGCGUGUCGUUGUCGAUUGAACCUGUUACACGUCCGUCCCGUGAUUCACGCCGAGGUGUUCUCCAAUUGGCUUCCCAGCGAUCCGGCGUGACUGCGAAAACGCUCCUGAUAUCAGACGCCAAAUUGCUCCUGUAAAGCAUAUCUGUUUCCCAUUGUUCUAUUUGCAUAUGUGCGAACUCGUGUAAUUUUUAACAUAUAAAAUAUAAUAACGAUUUAUGUAUAGAUGUUAUAAAUUAUAUAGAGAAGAUUACUGUUACCAAGAUAAAUGUUUUGUGUGCUGUGUCCUUUGUUCUAUCUUAUGUGAUUUUAUUAUUCUAUCUCAUCAUUUAUUAUCAAUAAAUGUGUUAGCUUACGCGACAUCCCGAUUUUGUUUAAAAUUUAUCUAUACAUAAAUCGCAUUAUGAAAAAAAAUGAGAGAAAAAUAUAAAUAAAACGCAAUAAAAUGAAAUAAUGUCAAGAAAGAAGUCGACACUGAAUGUCGUACAAGUAUAUUAAAAAAUUACGUAAGACCGAAACUUCUAUAUGUAAUUUUUUAAUGAAAAUAUAUUAUUGUAUACACAAACGUUCAGGGUUGGAAUUAUUUAUUUUGUUGUGAUUUUAUUAAUUUUACUUAAAAUUAUGAUACACAUAUGGCAGUAAAAUUAUCACCUUUACGCCUGUUUUUCUUAGCAUCCGCAAUUCUGCGAUAACCAGCGCCGGGAUCAUCAUUCAUGCCGGUCAGCCGGGGGUGAGAAAUUUCCCCGGCGAAUGCCUGGUGAUUCGUCACGAUAUCCCGAUAUCCCGAUAUCCGUCCGUGACAUCGCACGUCCGCGGUCGAACGAUGGGAACGAGAUUCAAAUGCGUGAUACGAUGACGCUCACGAUGAUGCCACGGUGGCGCGUUCUCGGGGCGCGUGCGGUUCGUAAAAUCGUUAUCGGAGGCACGCAUCGUCGCGUCUGAAGGGAGUUCCCCCCACAGACAGGGGAAGCCUAAAAAAUGUUUGGGAUUAAACGCACAUGGAAAGAAGGAGAAUUCCCGAUCCGACGUGUCCGAAGCUCGACUCGGACCGUGAGGAAUCGGGGGAAGGCGAAAAUAAUUUUUCCAAGUGAUGAGCGUCUUAAAAUCUCUUGUAAUCUUUAUUUAUACGAUUAUUCCUACUUUUCUUCUCAUCCUCUCAAAGAUGCACAAGGUGCAAAAAAAUUCCUCUCGCGCGGUUCGUUGCGUAAAUUGAGAUAAACACCCCGUGCGCGACCGUGCGUGCGUUGCGUGCACGCAUACGUGCGUACAGGCAACUCUACACAUGGGGGGGGGGGAGAGAGAGAGAGACACAGAGAGGGUGGUGCGGAUCAACGAGACGACGGUAGCGGCGGCGGCAGGGUGAACGAGCGAAGCGCGAGGGGUCGAAAAUCGAACGAAAACGAGCGAGCGAGCGAGCGAACGGAGCAGGCGCUUGCGUUGUCAUUAAACCACAAGCAGAAUUUCCGACCGCUCGCUCGCUCGACUCGACACGCGUCGCCCCGUCCGUCCCCUUUCCGCCGUCGCGCCGCGCGACCCCCAUUCAUCAUAAAUGCAAUCAGAUCGUAUUACGCGCCAUUACCAUACGCUCUACCCCGUUCCAGUCUCCGUCCCUCCGGCGGUCCCCGGUCGCGCCCCCAUCCUCCUCCUCGGUCGGCUCGCGCGAUGCGAGCCCGAAAUUCAUCCCCCUGCGCGCGCGUGGCGAGGCGGAAUCUCCGAAAGCUCGUCUUUCGAGGGAGUCGAGGGCUGAUUAGGUUUUGAUUGCGUACGGUCGACCGCAAGUGAGAGAAAUCUGAGAGAGAGAGAGAGAGGGAUGUACACUUGUUUUCUAUCUUUCCCUUUUUCCGACUCGUUUUGCGUGAUCGAUGUCGUCGCGAGAGAAUUCGACUCUGUCAUUAAUAACGAGGACGAUAAUUGAUGUCCUAAUGCCCAUUUCUACCCAGCAUAGAUUAAUUUUAAUCUCGUUUAUAAAUUUAUCUAUUUUUAUCUCUUCGUAAUUCUAAGAAUUAAAGAAUAAAGGAUACUAUGUAUUUUUGUUGUAUGUAUAAAUAUAUUGUAAUAAUAGGUAAUAUUGGAAACAUUAA
Long non-coding RNA from Solenopsis invicta (red fire ant), 4331 nucleotides. RefSeq lists it as uncharacterized. The transcript has 2 exons. The record is from RefSeq and is a predicted model, not a curated record. Lineage: Eukaryota; Metazoa; Arthropoda; Insecta; Hymenoptera; Formicidae.